This 24920-nucleotide long non-coding RNA is filed under the name Marmota monax (woodchuck). The record is from RNAcentral. Lineage: Eukaryota; Metazoa; Chordata; Mammalia; Rodentia; Sciuridae.
UGGGGACUGUUUCCAGGAUCCCCGCGGGCCGACCCCGGCAGCCCGGGAGCGGAGGUGCGGCGGAGAGCCCGUGGAUCAAAGGAAUCCGCAGAGAAAGGGGAAAGCGGGCAGACGGACGAGCCGGCCUUGCCCCCCGCGGGCCGCGCUGGCCCGGGGUGGGGGCCGCGGGCGGGGACUCCGGGAUUUCCCGCCCGCCGGGCACCAGACCUCUGCGGGCUCCCACUUCGGGCACUUGGCCUGGAGGAACUCCAGGUAAGCCCAGGCUCCGCGGGCCAGGCUGGGGGCGCAGAACGAGGCUCGCGAGCUUGCGCAGCCGGCCUGGGACCCUGACCAGCACAGGCUGGCGCCCUCGGAAGCUCGGCGCCGCAGCCACUCCACCGUGGCGCGCGGGCGGGCGGAGAGGCGCAAGGCAUAAAUCCCGUAGAGCGCCCGAGAUCCGAUUAGCGCGCGUCUAUUCAUUAGGCCGGGGGCGAUUGAAUUAGGUCCCCGGGCGCAGGUCUUGGCUGGGGGCGGCGGCGUCUGGCUCAGGCGCGGGUGGGAGAGCGCGGACCACCGCGCUCCUGGUGGCAUCGGGAGCACCAGACGGCCAGCAGCGGCACGGGAGUAUCCGGGGGAGACGCGGUCGAACAGGGUCCCGCCCGGAGGCCUCUGCGGAGGCUGCCCGCCUCCCACGCACACCGAGGAGAGGCGGCCCGGCUCCGGAGAAACUGUUCCCGGGGGGAGCGGUCGGAGACCCGCGUUUCCAGCCCUCGGGAGGGACGGGCGCGGGAUGGAAGCGCGCGGCGCCCAGAAUCCUGGGUCCUCUCAGGGUGCCCGUCUCAGACUGCGCCUUCCUGCGCUCCUUUGAAAGCCGAGCUUUUCACCAGUUUCUCCACGGAGCUGGUUUUCCAAUCCAGGAAUCUUUUCUUCUUAAAAAUUAAUUCGCAAAACCCUACUUUAAGAAAAAAAAAAACAUAUGUAGGAGAAAAAUAUUGAAUCCAACAGAGAGGACACCUUGGCGACCAGGGGUGUUGCUGAAAUUGCUCCGAGCACGCCGCCACGGCCCCGCAGGCUCUGAAAAGGGGCUUUGCCUCCAACCACCCUGUGAGGGAGGGGUGGACCCCCAGCUCUCUGAGGCCCUACUCCCCUCCAGAGUGCGUUGAGGAGCCAGCUGUAAAGGCCUCUGGGACCCCCAAACCGUACCCCCCACAGGCAGGAUAUGAUUUAGGGGUCCUGGAACCUGGCUGAUAGGCAGGCUCUGGGCCCCAGCCGCAGUAAAUACCUACUGCCCAGGAGGUGGAUGAGCGCAGGAGAGCAGGGAUGUGGGUCCUCUCUGCCCUAAGUUUUGGGUUUAGUUCCUUGUGCAUGGCAGCUUCCCCAUUCCUAAAUAGUGGGUGGGGGCUGGCUUCAGAAUCCCCCAGUGCUGUCUCUUGUCUCUCCUGUGUCUCCUCCCAGAAGGAGGUUGCCCACGUGGGGAGGUCCUGGAUGCCUUUCGGACCUUGCAGCCCCCUGGUAUUUCCCCCCACCUCUGCAGCCCUAUUCUGCAGCAUUCACUUAAAACAAAUUUAGUGGGCUUUUUUUUUCCCCUUCCUCUCUCAAUACUGUUUCAAAACAGUUGUUACAGCAAAUAGCUGCAGACGGGCCUCUGCUGGAUGUGGCCAGGGCUGGCAGCUGCCCAGCGCAGGCACCCAGCCCUGGGCAGCUCUGCAGGACAAAAUAAGCUCCCGUGUUCCCCUCCCAAGGCUUGGAGUCGGGCUGCCCAGGCAUGUUUGGCUGGGCUCGCUAUCUGCAUAGAGGAUGCCUCCUUGGUGGCCCUCUGACUCUCCUGCUGUCCAUAGCUAACAAAUGUUUUUAAUUUUAGAGGAACAUACUGGGAUCUGCAGAUCCGCCUUUUACAAGAAGAGGGCCAGGCAAAGAGAGAAGAUAUUAAGCCUGAAGUCAGUUGUUUUUUGUUGUUGUAGAUGGACACAAUAAUUUAUUAUUAUGUGAUGCUGAGGAUUGAACCUAAUGCCUCACACAUCCUAGGCAAGUGCUCUACCCCUGAACUACAACCCCAAUCCUGAUACCAGUCUUGAUGCUGGAGUGUCUAAACCUGUGAGUUCUUAGUGGACCUGGGCCCUAAGACACCCAGCCCCUGGCCCACCUGCUCAGCAGCCUGAAAUCCUAGAAGCAUCCUUAGCCCUCAGAUCCAUUCCUCCCAACAGAAGCCCCAGCCAUUUCUGAAAGCCUGGUGGACACCAUUCAGGGUUUUCUCUGGCCUGGGGAGAAGAUGAAUGGACGCCAUGCAUAGCCAGCUGUGCCCUGAUACCUGGGCAUGGCCACUCCCUGAAUGCUGUUCUCACGUGUGCACACACGAACAUUCAUGCAGUUUUGAGAGCAUGCUCCUUUUGUUUUUUGGUACCAGGGACUGAACUCGGGGGCACCACUGAGCCACAUCCCAGCCCUUUUUGUAUUUUAUUUAUAGAGACAGGUUCUCACUGAGUUGCUUAGGGCCUUGCUAAGUUUCUGAGGCUGGCCUUGAACUCACAAUCCUCCUGCCUCAGCUCCCAAGCCUCUGGGAUUACAGGUGUGCCCCAUCACACCUGGCGAGUGUGCUCCCUUGAUAUGCACACAUUCAUGAGUGCUCACACAUCACCCCAUUCCCGUGUGUACACAAACCCACUCUGGCACAUGUGAGUCUCACAUAGUGUGUGACACUCCCACAUGCACAUGGGUAUAAAACACAAAGGCAAGGCAGGCCUGGGAUGUAGCUCAGUGGUGGAGUGCUUGCCUAACACGCCUGAGGCCCUGGUUCCAUCCCCAGCGUCAGGAAACAAAACAAACGAGCAGGCAGAGACACUUCUACAUCACAUCCCAACACAGGGGCACACCGAACGAGCAGAAGCAGUCCUGAGCCCUGCUGUUACAGCCACAGCUUGCAGCCUGUCACCCCCAAGCCUGUCCUGGAGGCCCUGCAGCACUCCUGCCCCGACUCUCCCUGACACUAGCAGCAAAUCUAGAUUUCCCAGCUCCCAAAUGACCGAGGUCCCAACUGAUCUGAAAACAUCAAAUAAGUAAUCAUUUUUUUUUUAAUAAUUUUUUAAUAUUUAUUUUUUAGUUUUCGGUGGACACAACAUCUUUGUUUGUAUGUGGUGCUGAGGAUCGAACCCGGGCCGCACGCAUGCCAGGCGAUCGCGCUACCGCUUGAGCCACAUCCCCAGCCCCAAAGUAAUCAUUUUUUAAUAUAAGGGGCUGGGGAUGUCAGGCAAAAUAUAAAAUUAUGAAUUAACCACUGCUCCAAAUAAAUGCCUUACUGGGGCCAGAGAGCAGCAGGGCCGUGCUGCCGGGUAACUGUAUGUUGGGUGUCUCUCCAUUGUUCCCUGGGCCAUUAGUCAAAGGGCAUAUUAGAAACAAUAUCUUUCUUUCUUUCUUUCUUUCUUUUUGGGGGGGUGGUACUGGAGAUUGAAUUCAGGGCCACUUGACCACUAAGCCACAUCAGCCAUAUUUUUUGUAUUUUAUUUAGAGACAGGGUCUCCCUAAGUUGCUUAGCACCUCACUUUUGCUGAGGCUGGCUUUGAACUCAUGAAACUCCUGUCUCAGCCUCCAGAGCUACUGGGAUUACAGAUGUGUGCCACCACGCCCCAUAUAGAAACAAUUUCUUGAAGACAAAAAUUGACUCUUAGUUCUUCCCAGCAGAUGUGCGGGGGACUGGCCCAAAGACCAGACCUGAGACUGGGGCCAGGGUGCUGCAGGCUGGCACAUGGAGGGGCAGGUAGGGGCAGACUGGGGGCCCUGGGACCUAGGUCUGAACAUUUUCAGCCUGUGAACACCUGCAGGUUGGACCCAGGCUGGGGCAGGAAGGGUGGGCUAAGGCCUGGGUGGAAGCUGAGGUGGCCCACAGCACCCUGGACCCUCCCUCAUGGGAGGAAAGCUGUACCCCACCCUACUCAGAGUCAGUGUUCCAAGGACAGCUCAGGAUGAAGAAUUUGCUCCUUUCUCUUCAAAUAAGAGGGGUUUAAAAAAAAAAAAAAGUCAACUACAGUUGCCAGGAACUGCCCUGGCUAGAGGAGUAUGUCUUGGGCCCCUUCCUGUCUCCUGAAGGAGGAGGCCCUCCACCAUGGGGGAGGCCUCCUCAUCAGGACCUUUGGCUACACAGUGUGGGGAAAGCUCCCUCUCCUAUGCUGCAGACUCCCUGAAGCCCUCCCAGGUGGGAUCUUGGAGGUGCUGCUUGGAGGCUUGGGGGGUGGGGGUGGGGCAGCCUUCCCCUGCCAGGUCUGCUUUGGAACUUGAGUUGGUAGGCAGACUAAUUUGGGUGGGACAGGAGAGUGAGGGUGCCCUAGAUCCCCAAGAGCAGGAGGCUGCCUCCCAAAAGAACAAAGCUUUCAGUCCCAGCACCGCUAUUUAGCUGAGCCCAGAGGCAAGGUGUCAGGGGAAGGGGCUGUCGGCAGGAUGCUGAAUCAAGGCCACAAAGAGGGAAUUGUCCCAGGGCCAGGCCUGGCUGGGCAAGUCCUCUGUCACACAGCCCAUCUCUCCUGAGGAUCAGUCCCAGCUCCAGAUUAAGCAAGGGGCCUGGCCUCAGUCAGUGCCCAUUGAGACCCGGGGACCAUCAGGGAAGCACAGGUUGUACCUCUAAGACAGACCUCAGGACCCCGUUGUAAGUUUUAAACAGCAAGGAGAGCAGUGAGGUUGAGACCUGAAGUCAGAUGAACAGCUUCCCCAGCCAGGGCCACCUCUGCUGCCCACUGCCUCUGCCUCCUCCUCUGAGGGAGGCUUCACUUCUGUUGCUGAUUUUGACCAACCAGGUCAGCAGGCUGCCUAGCCCCCUCCCCUUGCAGGGAAGGUGCUUGUUAAACAGAGUUGUAAUUUGUGGCUAAAUAUAACCCAGUGUGUUCACACGGAAAGUAUAAUUCAGGGUGCUAGUCAUUCGAGGUUAUCAGUGAGGAGACCCAUCUGGGUUAAAUUAAAGUGAUUUUCAUAAAGGGCAGAAGCACCAUUGCCAGGCUUCUCUCUGCCUUUUUAUUAGCAGUAGUAUGGUUGUUAUUACUACUAGAUGGGAUCAAGGAAGAUGGGGAGAUGCCCCCGGACCCCAGGGCUGAAGAGCUAAGUGGCCCCUGCAUCCGAGCAAGGAGACUUGUGUGCCCACAGGUAGUUCGUUCUGUUGAAUCUGAAGGUGGCCUGGAGGGGAGAGGGCAGGUUCUCCGAAAAUGGGGGAAUGGCCUUGGGAGACUUCCUGAAUAAGGAAUGAUGGAUUCUCCUGGCAGGAGUCUGACCUAAACACCCUUCAAUCUUGGCGGUGAGGAAAGUCCCGUGAGGACAGGAGCCAGACCCAGGAGGGAAAGCCCCAUGACCCAAUAUACAGGAACAGAUGAGGACAGCUGAGUGGCUGCAGCGACCCUGCUGCGACAAGUGCCUGGGCAGGGCCUGAUACAGGUGGUCUGUGGUCUUUCCAGGCACGCCCCCAGGCAGAACUGGUCCUCAGGCCCUCCCUUCCAGAGUCCCUGCCCCACAGCUGGCCACACCAGGCCUGGCUGGGGAAGGAGUGCAGGGAACUGAUUGCAGGGUGCCGGGUCUUGGGUGCGCUUAUUGGGGUCACUAUCAGGUUGUGUCUUGCAGGACCUCCUCUGAUGGAGCCCAGCUGGCUUAGGCAGGGUCCCAGCUGUUCACCAGGGCCAGGAGCAGAACCUCUAGGGCCAGACAGCCCAUGAUCUAGGGAGACAGAGCCCCCCGCUUCCCUUACUUCACCCCAGUUCCUCUGGCUUCCUUGACAGCCCAGGCAGCCAGUGGAACAGCACUCUUCCCUCCUCACCCCACCCACAGUGGCAGGAGGCCUGCCUCCCCUGGAUUCCUUUAGUGCUCCAUACUGGGAAAACCCCAGCCAGGCCAGACUCCCCCGCCCAGUACGGCUGUCCCAGUAGAGGGCCCUAUUGUGUAGGGUGCUACACAUGGGAACUGGUCCCACAGGGUCACAGGCCAAACCUCAGGACACUACUCUCCUGCUGUUUCCAGAACUCCUCAUUCCCAUCCAGCCCAGCUUCCUGCCCUUGAGACAGCCCACAAUCUUUCUGCCCUGGGGCACCCCCCACCACUUGUAUCCCCAGAGUCUGAUGGGCCAUAGGUCCCCUCCAUGGAAAAAAAACAGGCUGGUAAGAUGGAAGACAGAUGCCUCCUUUUCCUCCCCCUUAUGUCUGGGGGGAUUUGAGUCUUUGGCCUGGUUACCUUCUGCAUUUAUAGACCACAAAUAGUGAUUCCUAUCAAAGUUCCUACAGAGCAGCCAGGGCCUGUAGCAGAGCCUGGAGAACCUCUCUUCCAGUUACCAGAGGGGCAGUAGGGAUAUGGUCACCCAUGCCUCCCACCUGCCCUGGAGCAUGGCCACUGCCUCUUUUGUUAACAGGACCGUUGAUAUCUUAAGUUAAAAAUAACUCAGUAGGACCUUUUUUUCUGAUCUGCACAAAUACAUAUUCAACCCCCAUCCAUGGUGUGUGGACACCUUUGCAGGCGGCACUUCCCCAUCCAGGAGGGUUUUCAGAAGUGUUCCAAAGGAAGACUCCCCAGAAAACUCCCUCUUCUAACAGUCCGAGCAGGGGGUGGAGGCCCCCCCCCCACGGGGCCAGCUCUCGCGGGACACUUCCCACUUCCGCAGGCCUUUUCAAGCACACCCCCACUGAGCGUGCGAAGGGCUACGGGGCCGAGCUCUGCGUCUUCCCCCGCGCGUCCCCAGGGUCCAUCUCAGUAUGCCACCGCUAGCCAGACCGGCCGCUGCCUGCUUCGCUGAGCAGUGCAGGGCAACAGAAUGCGGGAGGCGGAUUUGCUUCCCCAAGAAAUUGUUUGCUUUUUUUUUUUUUUUUUGCUGAUUUUUCAGUGCAGAAAGUCUCCUGGAGCAGGUGGUAUAAAAUCAAAGCCCCUACAUCCAAGCCAGACACAAAAGCGCCCUGGAAGUACCCGGACCCGCGUCCGGAGAAGCGCACGCACCCGCCGAUGCAGUGUCUCGGCGGCCGCGGGCUCAGCAUCCCCACCUGCUCCGUUCCGCCCUGUCCCCGAGAACCAGGAGGCGGCCGGAGGCGCCAUAAUGGCAAAUUUAUGGCCUGGGUGACGUGCUUUCCUCUCCCACAAUGGGGCCCCGUGACAUUAAACAGAAAAUUGAUGAGAGGGGAGCGGAAUCUAAUCUCUCUCCCUCCGCGCCGCCUCUUCUCGCUUUUCGGGGAGGCGGCGAGGGCCGGGAGGAAGAGUGGUCCGCGUGAGUUCCGCACCCGCGCCUUCCCCCAGAUCCGCGCUCCCGGCCGGCCGCAGUGGGGUGGUGGCCGCCACCCUCGUCGCGGGCCCCCACCCCUCCGCGAACGCAUUUCGAGAGGACUCUCGGGACCUGGUAGCCGCGACGCACAGACUCAGGACCCCAGGCCCAGGCACGCGGCAGCCCCUGUUCCCCUCCCCAGUUCCGGGAGCGCCCCCACCGCGCGGGGAGGGGGGGAGGACCCCGGCCGCCCAGCCCCCAUGUGGGAAAAGACGGCAAGUGACUCGGCGCGCCUGGGGUGGCUGCGAGCUCCCGGUCCCCUCCGCCGGCUGCACGGCUCCCCCGCGACGCGCCCGGCGCCUCCUGGCACCGAACCCGCCGCGCUGCGUCCUUAAAGGCGCCGCCUGCUCUGCCCGCCUUUGUCCGCGCCUCUGGGAAGGUCAUGAGGCGGAGAGUGAGGGGCAGCGGCAGUGCCUGGCGCAAAGCGCAUCUCCCAUGCAUAGCGCAUCCCGGACCACAGGCGCGGGGCUCCAGGAAAACCUGACCCAACCGUCUCUGCGCCCCAUGCCCCAGGGUUACGUCUUGUCACACACACUGUGCUGGAGCACACAGCCCGCUUAAACGCUGGGCCUUGGAUAAGUGGGGGUCAGGGGGGUGUGUUUCUCAGGGGAGGAUGGAGAGAGCCCCUGGGGACCUCUUGGGGAAAAGAUCAUCCCCAGAGCCCCAGGAGCAUCUAGAGGCAUGAACAAAGUCCAGCUUGGGGCCUGAUGAGGCUCCUGGAGUGAGGCUUCUGCCCCUCCUGCCUCUACCUUUCUGGCCUAUAUGACAUUGAGGGUGCCUGUGUGCCAGAUUCUGCCCGGACACUCAGACUCUAGGCAACCUGGGUUAGUGGUGUUGCCCAUUUCACAGAUGAGCACACUGAGGGGUGAAUGGCUUGCUUGUCUGCUCACCUGGGGCCUAGACACUUGGGCCCUGAGUUAUUCUAUAAAAACCAAGAUGAGGAUUGACUGGCCUUUGGGUCCAAGCAGCCCCCCAAACCUUUGGAGUUGGGACCUCCACCUUGAAAUGUGCGUCACCUAUAGCACCUGCAGAAGGGGGUGCUUGGGCCCUGUCCUUCCUGGGCAGCAGGUCCGCAGGCCCCAGCCAGCUGGCCUGUUUCUCAGUCCUGCCAUGAGAUGCGGUGAGGCCAGUCUGACUCUGCAGCUAGGAGGAACUGCUGAUGCGUGGGGAGAGCCAGGAAGGUCAGGUUGCCCUGGGACCAAGAAAUCACCUCCGUCAGGCUGGAUGCAAACCUCCACUUCUAGGUUCAAAAAUCAGCUGUAAACUGCAGCAGCUUCCCAUGAAGCAGGAUGAACCAGAGGCAGCUGCCCCAUUCAGGCAGGACCUGUCCCCCCACCCCCAGCCCUGCCCUCUCGGUGGCAGGCUCCUUGUGAAUGUCUAGGCACCCAGCAGCUGAGCCUGGCUGGGGUGGGGGUGGGGGUGGGCCCCCUCGGGAUGUCUGACCCAGAGCCUCUGAUGUCAGGCCCACUGGGGGAGGGGACGCAGCUGGGGACAGCAGAGAAUGGGGUCCUUGUGCCACUGUUGUCAGGCCCAGGGCUUCCAUGAACACAGCUUUGUCUGCACCCACACCCCGUGGUGACCACGGGACAGGACUGGGGGAUCAGCGGGCCUCAGAACAAGAGCUGCAAGCGUUUUUUGGCUUUUUAGCCAAAGUUAACCCUUAAAUGGGUGUUGGAUUCACUCUCCCCAGCCAUGUGCCUGGCACCUGGAAGCCUGGGGCCGGAGGGCAUGCAGAGGGGCUUCAGGCCCAAGGUUUGAAAUACAUUCAACUCUUUUUUUUUUUUCCUAUUAAAAUGGCUGCAGUCAUUGGAGGAAAUAGAGGGUGCCUGGGUAAGAGGAUCUGGUAGGCGUGAUUCUGACAGCACGUAGCCUCCCACACAGGUUCUGCUCCCACCCCAGUCCUAGCUGGCAACAGAAGUCCAGAGACAACUCCCCAGGGGUCUUCCAGAGGAGGAGGCCCCAUCUGUCAACCCACCCGGGACUCUGGGCGGGGUGGAGGUGAGACUAAGUGGAGGAUCUUGCAGGAACUCCAGAGCAGUUGGGUGUGGGUGGGUCACAGACCCUGGGAGCAGGAAGGACGGACAGGAAAGGACCAUUUGUGGGCCCCAGGACUUGGCUGGCAGCAGUGGGGUCUGCAGAGGCAGUGGGGUCUUCCCAGUACCAAGUGGAUGCUGGGGGUGGCAGCGGGAUGGCCAGGACACUGGGAGCCCAAGGCACUCCUCAGACUGCAGCCUCUGGGCCUGCCCACUCCCCUCAGCCCACGGUCCAAGAAGUACACCUGGGCAGUGGCACAGUGGUGGGUUUUCUCUUCUUCUUUGUGAUUCUAUAUAUAAAAUAUAUUUCUCAAAUUUCCCUUUUGAAUGGUAUUCAUUUUGUAAUAAAAAACAAAACAACCGUAAGCAGCACCCUGAACAGGUCUGCAGGGCCAGAGUUUAGCGGCUUGCUGCACAGUAGGUUCAGUCACCCAAGCCCAGGGCCACUCCUGCCCUGAAGGCCCCUCGAGCAAUCGCAGAGAAGGGUGCCUCAAUUUUCCCCACACACUCUGGGAAUCACCAGCUGGACUCCAGAUGGGUGCUGCCAGCUCAGGGCAUGCAGGAGUACAGGCGGCACCUGGAAGUCCUCCUGUUUUCUGAACACUCAGAGGGAGGUGCCCCGGUGGCUGGCAUUGCUGCCCAGGAGAGGCCCAUGGGCCCUGGGGAGGGCAGCCCAGCAACUCAUGAAUGUGUCAUGAUAAGCCAAAGGCGUGGGGCACCAGCAAGAGCAGGGCAUAUGGGGCCUGUUCCCCCAGGCUGCGGCUGGGCUCCCCUAUCGCUCUAGAGGCUGGGAGAGGCUCGCAGGGAUGCCCCAGAGACUCAGAGCCCUGCCCCUGAGGUGUGGCUGGUCUGCGGUGGGGGGUAAGUUAAGGCCUACCAGUCUCUGCUAGCUUCAGGGCAAGGUUGCACUCCUGCCCGCCCCCACACCAGGGGCAGUGGGAUGAAAACCCGCCCCCAAGUCUGCCCUGUCACUACCCCAGGAUUGGGGCCAUGGAGGACUUCUAGCAGAGGUGGGUAGGAGGUGGGCUCCAGGGGUCUCCAGCUCAUUAUAACUGGGUGUGGGGGGCCUGGAGUAAAGAGUGUGGACAGUACAGGCUUAGGAGCCUCAGGGCCCAGGGAGGGCAGGAAAGUUUCCCCAACAUGAUUGAAGAAGGAGCCAAUGUCACUGGCACCCUCCCAGGAACCCGGCACCCCUCCAUGGACAAGAGGAACAGCCAGGCAUGGCAGGCACAGCUGUCCUGGCAAAUGACUUGGGAAGGCACAGCUCUGGGGCCAGCAUACACAGGAGGGAGCCAGGAUCAGCCAUGGCAGUCCCCAUCCCCAGCAAGGACUCCCCAGCAUGAAGCAGAGGGGCUGACGGACAGGAACCAGGACACCCAACCCCAGGCCUAUAAGCUCCAAGAAGUAUGGGGCUUGGGCAUGCCUCAGAGGGCCCCCGGUGGUUGGUGGUUCAGGAUGACCAGCACCGAGUCUGACGCCUGCCAAGUGCUGUGGGCCUGCCCUGGGCUGAGCUCAGCCCUUGUGUCCCCCAGUGCCACCAUCUCGCUCACUGCUCCCACCUGUGGGUCCCACUAACUCACAUUGCCCUGGGCAGUGCCAACAUCUGGUCAGUGGGGCAGAGGAGGCAGUGCCCUGCUGCGUGGGACAAGCACACCAACCGCUGGGCAUGUGAGGGACCCAAGAUGUCCUCACCAGGAGCUAGGCACUAGCAUGGGCAGCCACCCAUCAGGUAUAGAUGGGGUUCCUGCAGGCUCUUGGGGCUUGACCCCCCCCCCGACUCCUGCUUUUCCUGCAUUCCCACCCGGAAGUCCUCUGGCCCAAGGAUGUGAGGCCUAUCCAUCUGCAUGGUGCCCACUGUGGUCCCUCAGCUCAAAGCGGGACUAUAACAAACACAGCUGUUACUCUCAUUCUUUUUCAUGCCUUUUGGUAGUUUAAGCCCUUCUUUGUCUUGGAUAUUGUCUUAGGGUUAUGCAGAGAGAGAGAGAACCAAUAGGGAUAGGCCCACACCUGUGUCUGCAUCUAUGUCAAGAGAUUCUUUAGAAGGAAUUGGUUCACAUGAUCACAGUCAAGUCCCAAGAUGUGCCCUGGGCGGGAAGCUGAUGGUGCAGUUUGAGUCUGAGGGCAGUGUGUGUUCCAGUUCAAACAGUCAGGAGGAGGAAAUCCUCCUACUCUUAGGAAGAUCGGCAUUUGCCUCCCAUUUGGGUCUUUUCUCCAAUGGAUUGGAUGAGGCCCACCCACUUGGGAAGGAGUGUCUGCUUCACUCAGUCCACAUUCACCAGCCAGAUCCUAACCCCAUCCAGAACACCCUCAAAAACACCAGAAUUAGGUUUGAGCAGACACCGCAGCAUCCCCUGGCCCAGUCAAGUUGACACAUAAAAUUAACCCUUGUAGGUGCAUUCCACUGGAAGGGGAAUUGCUGGGUCACGGGGACGGUGUCGGAGCCCCGUGGUCCCUGCUCCUCACUGGCACUUGGAACUGUCAGUCUUCCUCAGCUCUGCCUUUCUGAGGGUGGGAAGCCUCCUGUGGCUUAAGGCUUGUUCCCGAUGGCUAGGGGCCACCAGUGUUCAUCUGACUGUGGGUCAUUUCUUCACCCUUUGGAUCCAGGAGGUCCCUGUUCCAAUGUGUUGCCCCUUUUAAAAAUAGUGUUGAUGUGUCUUUCUUGUUGAUUUUGGGGCUCUUGACACGUUCCGGACACAGAUCUUGGCUAGUCACCUCUCUACACCGCUGUCGAGAGGCGCGUUGUUUGGGCUUAGAUUUCACUCAGAGGCUGGCGUUUCUUUCUUUCUUUUUUCCCUAGAAAUUGAGCCCAGAAUUGUUCUGCCUCUGAGCUACAUCUGUGGACUUUUUUAUUCUUCUUUUUUUUUUAAUUUUUUUUUCUUUAGUUGUAGUUGGACACAAUACCUUUAUUUUAUUUAUUUAUUUUUAUGUGGUGCUGAGGUUCAAACCCAGGGCCUCACAAGUGCUAGGCGAGCGCUCUGCCGCUGAGCCACAGCCCCGCCCGCUUUUUAUUCUUAAGUCAAGGCCUCCCAUCCUAAGUCGCCCCCCCUGGCCUGGAAAUCGCAGCCCUGCCUUGGCCUCCUGUCACUGGGAUCACCAGGUGUGCAGCAUUAGGCCUGGCUCCAAGUUCUUGAUCUUCACUGUUGGAUUGUUUUGCAGUCAGGUGACUGAACCCAGGGCCUCAAACAUGCUAGGCAGGAGCUGCACCCUGAGCCUUGUCCCCAGCCCUGUCGCUCGGUUUUGAGACAGGGCCUGGUGAGAUGCCCAGGCUGCCCUGGGACUUGUGAGCUCCUGCCUCAGCCUCCUGAGUCGUGGGAUCACAGGUGUGCACCCGUGCACUCAGCUUCAAGUUCUUGAUUCUCAUGAAGUCCAGUCUUCCCUUUUCUGGUCAGUGACCUUGGCACCCUACAUCAGAAAUCUUUGCUGACCACAGUGCCUUUGAAGGUCCUCCUGUUUUAUUCUAGAAGCUUUGGGGUUUAUUUUUCACCAUUUGGUGUAUGAUGCACUUUGAUAGAUUUUUGUACACACUGUGACAGAGCACCAAGGGUCAGCCUUCCUGUCAGGUCCAGCUGGCCUGCCCCCUUCCUGCUGCACUGCUGUGGCCUUUGUUAGACGUCAGUGGGUUGGGGGAGGGGCAGCUGGCUUUCUGAACCCACCCUCCCAUCCUUGGCCUACUGGACGGCUCCUGUACCACUCACUGGGGCCUUUGCUGGCCACUCAAAGCCCACCCAGGGCUUUAGGCAGAGGGGCCCUUGAGGUGAGGCUUCGGGGGCCCUCCUGGGUAGUAUCCACUGCUUGCUCUCCCAGGGUACAGCUUCCUGUCCUGACUGCAGCGCUGCAGGGGCCCACCUCAAAGACCCUGAGGGGCUGUGGAUAAGGGCGGGGGCAGCUCUCCGGGAAGGACACAUCUGGCCAGCCCUCAGCUCACAGCAGCCCUUUACAGAGGACCCUCUGGCUCAGCUGCCACAUGGGCUCCCAGGGCCGUUGCAGGCCCAGAGAGCUCGCAUGGAGCAAGGACACCACAUGGAGCCCCACACUGAGCUUGCACAUUAGUGGGGCCGGGGACAGAUGGUGUCAGUUAGGCAGCAUGGCCCAGGGCCACCUGGGUGGGGCUGUUGGAAACGGGGGUGACACUGACGUCUGAGCAGAGCAGAGGGGAACGAGGAGCAGGCGUGCAGGUAGCUCCUUUCAGGAGGACCUGCAGGGCCAGGGCUCCAGGCUUCCAGGGCCUCCUGCAGGGGUGGGAGGGGGAAGGUCUCAGAGUGCAGGGCCAGCAGUGGGGCCAGAGGUCCUUCAGGUCCUUCAGGCCCUAAGCUACAGGGCAGGUCCCGCGGCUCAGGAGGUGGGACCCCGCACCUCUGGCUCUGCGCGGAGGUCCAUCUGAGGCCUCCAGAGGAAGGAGCCUCAGCACUGGAAGAGCUCAGAGGGUCCUGCCCAGCAGCAGGCAGAUGGAAAGGAGGAGCUGCAGCCAGGGAGGGGGCAGAGUGGGGGCAGGGGCUGGAGCUGGAUUGUAGGGGUUCCAAGGGCUGCAGGGGCGCGUGGGGCAGGGCGGGGGUACAGGGUUCUGACUGCAGGGGUGCGUGUGGGGGUGUGGGUACAGGGUUCUGACUGCAGGGGCGCGUUUGGGGGGUGUGGGUACAGGGAGCAUAGCCACACUGCCUGCACUCUGGGACCUGCACCCCUACAAGGGCCGGGGCUCUUCGCCAAGUUGAGCGCCAGGCAGGCUUCUGGGGGACUUGGACUUGGCCGGCAGGAGGUGAUUGUCAGGCAGCUGGCUGGUUCUGGAGUGAGUGAGGCAGGCCCUCCCUGCCUGGACAUGGCCUUGGGAGAUGAGGCAUAGCAGGGAAUGGCAAUCAGUGGUGUGGGAGGGGUCAGACUGCAGGGUCUACAGGGGACAGGACAGGAGGGGCCAAGGAGGGGAUACCAGAUGGGGAAAUCGAACCAAGAAAUUGUGACGGGGGCCAGGGUAGUGUCAGGAAGCCUGGAGAAGAAGGGUUCUGCCAGGAAGAGUCAUCCAGGGCCAGUCAGAGGAUCUGGUGCUGUGGUGGAUGCUGGUGACCUGCCCAGGCCCUUGUGUCUGCUCCACCCCUCCCCCUUUCAGAGUGACUCUGAAUGCACAGGGCUGACCCCUCUCCAACCACAGCCUGUGGCCACUGAGCACCAGGUUAUAGCCCCAAGGUCCACUCCCUGCCAGGCCAGCUAGCCCAACCUCCUGACCCUCAGGAGGCCCUAACCUAGGCUGGCCGGACUCUGCCCCGUAGCCACGGGCCGUUGCCUAUGUGUUUCUAGCUGGUCCUCCUGGCCAUCCAAGCUCCCUGAGAUCUCCUCUAGCACUGGAAGGAGAUGGCCUUGUCCUAGGUCUUAUUCCUGUGACCCAGCCAGGCCAUACAGUCCCAGGAGCACAAAUCUUCCACCAUCCCACGUUCUCCCCAAUGGUGAGACUCCAUUGGCAAUCAUGGCCAAGCCAGUGCAGCCAGUGUCCCGGCUGUCACAGCAAAUGACCACAGACUGGCCAGCUUAGAUGACCAGAAUUUAUUUUCUCAUGGUUCUAGAGACCAGAAGCUGGCAGCGAGGUGUGGGAAGGGUGGGCCCCCUGGAGGUGCCCAGUAGGUCCAGCCAGGCCUCCCGGGCCUGCCCCUGCCAGCACUCCUGUUCCUGUUCCUUGGUCUCUGUCCCACUUCUCCCGUGUUUCCCUUUUAUUUUUUCCAUAUUCUUCCUGAAAAUUUUAUAUGGUCAGAUGGGGAAAUCGAACCAAGAAAUUAUAACAGGCCAUGUUUGAAUUCCCGUCCAUUUCACUUCACCUAACCAUGAGAGACUGUCUGCCUCGGCCUCUGAGUCAGGACUUUCCCCCUGUGUGCGUGUGUUGGGGGCUCUCUUACUGCCGCGGACCAACGAGAACCUCUGGCUUGUCAUGCAACUUUCAGAAAUGCAUUUUCUCAGGCCAGGGUUGCAACUCAGUGGGAGGGUGCUCACCCAGCGCAUGGGAGGCCCUGGCUCCAACCCCCAGUGCUGCUAAAUAAGUGAAUGUAUUCAUAAUGUGUCACUAGAUGGCCCCAGAAAGGACCAGCAGCUUGUUGGGCUCCUGAGCAUCCUGCACCCACACCCAUCCCAGCCUCAGCCCAGCACACUCAGCCUCCUGAUGGACGGCGGGCCUGACCCCUUCUCUAGUGUGGCCCCCCUCCCCAGCCACCUGUCUCCACGCUGCCACGGACUGUUGCCUAGGUGUUCAUGGCUGGUCCUCCUGGCCAUCCAAGCUCAGGGCUGGGAACACGGAGGGCUGGGAGGGUGGCCCACUGCUUCUUCCCAGGCUGAGGUGCAGAAUGAAAUUGGUCCAACUGCAUCUGUUGAAAAGCAGCCCCCUGCCCAUCCUGCUGUACCCUCUCACCAGCCCUGGGCCAGCUCUGCACUGUGCCACUAAGGAGCGGCGGUCACUCUUCCAAGUCUCCAUGGCUGUGGGCAGAGCCCUGGGCAUCCUGCCUCCAGCACUGUGCCCCCCUGGCUCUGCAGCUAUGUAUCUGGCAAAGUGUGGCUCAAGUGGGUGGGAGCCCCCAGGGUGCCAGUCUGGUUCAGCCUGGCAGAGGCUGCACCCCCUCUGCACCUGUCCUCAGGCGUCAUAUACACCUCCGUGCUUCAAUUCUGGUUUCUGGAAUCUUCCUUCUUGUCAUUUCCAUCCCCUUCCCACUGUGUGUCCCCCAGAGUGGCCUGGACCUGAGGAAAGGGGCCCUGGAGAGUCAGGGCAGGUGUCCAUGUGUCCAGACACCCAGGUGUCCAGGGAUCCGUGGCAGAGCAGAUCCCCAGACUCUCUCAGGGUCUGAUUUAUGGCUCAUUUCUAGGUGAGGUCAUCCUGGAUUUAGGUUGGACACUAACUCCAAUGACAAACAUCCUCUUUAGAGAAAGACAAAGGCUAUUUGAGACUCACCCACACUAAAGGAAAACUACGUGAAGAGGAGGCAGAGGGCUGGGCUGGGGCUCCGUGGCAGAGCACUGGCCUGGCAUGUGUGAGGCACUGGGUUCGAUUCUCAGCACGGCAUAUAAAUGAAUAAAGUCCAUUGACAACUAAAAAAAAAGAAAGAUGUAGGCAGAGACCAGAGAUGUACCACCCCCGGGGAAUGCUUGGGCCACUGGAGGCUGCGAGGACAAGGAAGGAGCCCCUAGGAGCCUCAGAGGAAGGUGGCUCUGUGGCACCUCGAUUCUGGACUUCUGGGCUUCAGAACGAUAAGAGAAUAAACUUCUAUAGUAUUAAGUCACCCAAUUUGUGCACAUGUGUCAUGGGGGGUCUGGGAAAGUAAUACAAUACUCUUUUAAGUCAAAGGUGUGGGCUGGGCUGGGGCUCAGUAAACAGCAUUGCCUAGCACGUGUGAGGUGCUGGGUUCGAUCCUCAGCACCACAUAGAAACAAAAUAAAGGUAUUGUGUCCACCUAUAACUAAAAAAUAAAUAUUAAAAAAGGGGGGCUGGGGUUGUGGCUCACCUAGCAUGUGCGGGGCCCUGGGUUCAAUCCUCAGCACCACAUAUAAAGAAAUAAAAGUAUUGUGUCCAACUACAACUAAAAAAAAAGUUAAAAGGUGCCAGCAUCAUCGCCCACGCCUGUAAUCCCAGUGGCUCAGGAGGCUGAGGCAGGAGGACCACAAAUUCAAGGCCAGCCAAGUAACUAAGCAGAUAGAGCCUGUCUCAAAACAAAAUACAAAGGAUUGGGGGUGUAAUUCUGUGAUAAAGCCUCCCUGGGUUCCACCCCAGUACCUCAAAAACAAACAAAUAAACGAUAAAUUUGAGGUAUAAAAGAUUCUAAAGUGAAAAACCAUGGGCACUGGCUCCCGCGCCCUGCUGCCCCCCAAGCACACACACAUCAGCACAGAAGGCCAGAGAGGACGCUGGGCGUGGUCAUCGCAGCACACGCAGCCUGCCUGCGCGUGGCUCCUGUCCUUUGACUCAGGACCUGAGGAUCUUUAUGCCACUCGGGCACCGUCACCUCAGUCCUCCUGAGUACGCGGUGCUGCGUCAGCUCAGCGAUCUCUCCCUGGUCCAGCUCCUCUGCUCCAGGUGCGGGGACAGAUUCCAGUGCAGGUGUGGUGGACAGGUGGUCCCUGUGAGUGCCCUUCCUCUGCAUCUGGGCGUCCUGGUGAGAAACCCCUGCUCCUGCUGGGGUGCUGGUUAGGAGCGCUUCACUGGGGAGGAAUAUUGCCGGGUGCCUCCCAGAAGGUCAUCCCGCUCCCACGCUCCCCAGCAGGCAAGCCGGCUCACAGGAAGGAGAAUGGGGGUCCCCGAGCACAGGGCGGGCCCCAGGGGUGUGGCUAGCGCAGCUUGGCCUCUGCUUUCUGGCUUCCUGCAGUCUGGGGCAAGCUUGGCCCUAGAGGAGCUGCCGGAGAGCUCGGCCGGGUUGGGCGUGGGCUCGGUGCUCUCCCUGGGCAUGUUGAUGGACAUGCAAUUAACCCGCCUGUGGUUAUGUUGGCAGCUGAACUGGAACAGGAAGUUAGCACGGGAACCAGGGCCUUUCAAGUGUUGACAGAUUCACGGAGCCUCUGCACCUGCGGGCGGGGACCUGUGCUCCUGCCUCCACGAGGGAGCCAGGGAGGACUGGCCCUGUCCCUGAGCCCCAGGGCCCAACAGCCACACCUGGGCAGAAGCUGAGGCCCGUCCAGUGUUGACCCUGGUGCGUGGCUCCACGUCCCUGUGGGUUUCUGUUUCCCCACGUCGCUCAGGGGAAGCGGUCUGCAUGAGCAGCUCAGCACCAUCUGAUCACCUUCUUGAAUUCCAGAUGCUGGGCUCAGUCUGAUGCUGCAAAACCCGGAUGAGGAUGCCGGCCCUCCCCUGGCAGGAGCGAGUCGUGGGACCCGUGCUCUUCGGGAAUGGCGGUGCCUCGCAAGCCCACCUGCAGCCUGGGGAGUCUGAAACAGGGCCUGGGCGUGUGGGACCAGGAGCACCCUCCACGAUCCCCCCCUGGACAGGCGGGUUUUGCUGGCUUGUUUUUGCAGCACUGGGGGUUGGACCCGACCCUUGAGUGUGCUAGGCAAGAAUUCCACCACCGAACCACGUCUCACACUCCCCUGCGCCUUUUACAAUUCUUAUUUUGAAACAGGGUCUCGCUCAGUUGCCCAGGCUGGCUUGAACUUGGGCCCUCCUUCCUCAGCCCACUGAGCAGCUAGGGUGUGUGCCACUGUGCCAGUUCCAGGACAGGUUUUUUUAAUGGCCUGAUGCCUGGCGAAGCCUGAGUAGCAGUCCCCAAGUGGGGAUGCCUGUGGGGCACCAGUGGAGGUUGGGGCUGAAGUUCAGCUCUUCAUCAUACGGGUAGGAGCCUGAGAGGUCCCGGCUGCUGCUCAGGCCACGGAGCUCUCACACUGAGGACGGCCCUGGACUGGCACACCCAGCUGACCCCUCAGCCAGCACACUCUGGAGGGGCCCUGGCUACUGUGGAGUGAGCGGACAUGUCCCUGAGCAGGGCUCCUGCAGUGCUGCUGAGUGCCUCAUCUGGGGUGAGCUCAUCUCCCGAGCCCUCUGGGGCCACUGUGGCCAGCACUCCUUCCAGCACCUCUGCCUGUGGCUGCCCGCUCUGUCCUCCGGGUCCCAACCCCUCCCUCCCUAUGCACUCAGUCUCCAGCCUGGUGUCCAGGAAGCCACAGCUGCAAGCCUGGGGCCUGUUACACAAAGACUCCACCCCGCACGGGUGAGACAUGUCCCCUGCAAGACGUAUUGAAGUGCCAGCCCCACACCUGCGACUUGGCCUUACUUGGAAACAGAAUGUUUGCAGUGUGAGUGGGCCAGGACAGCCUGGCUGCCCGUGGUGAUGCUGGCCACUGACCUGGGCCACGCAGGUCGUGUUAGAACCCCUGCCCUGUCAGUGACACAGUGACAGGGGAGAGCAGUUUGCACACAGAGGAGAGACGGGCUGUGGACGAUGAGGCAGAGGUGGAGCCCUGUGUCUGCAGCUGAGGGCCACAAGGACCACCAGCACCCAGAAGCUGGAGAGAGCCUGGACCCCAGCAGCCCACCCUGCACAUGCCCUGGUCUCCAGAGCUGGUCAUUGGUUACAGUGGCCCCAGGAAGGUCAUACCACCUCCUUCCUGCUCCAGGGACCCGCCUCAUGGGCUCUUGGGUAGUGGCAGUUGGCAGGAAGUGUGGGAGCUGAGCGCUCAGGAAGUGACCUCAGGAUAAGGGGGCAGGCUUCUCCUUUAGAAAGGGAGCCUCCAGGGUGGAAAGAAGUUUGGAACAACUCCACUACGUGGGCUAAGGCUGCAGCGUUGGUGUGAACUCGGUUUCCAGUACAGACAGCCUCAGAGUGGAUGCGGCGUUGAGUCCAGCUCCUGUCCAGAGACUCACAGCCGGCCCAGAGCCCAGUCCCGGCUCCUCUCACAGGAGCCUGGGCCCUUCCGGAAAGACCGAGCCCGGGGCUGGGGCAGCGCAUGCAUUCCGAGCCUGGCCCGGUUGGUUGUGCCAGAAGGAGGUCAGGAAGUGCCCGAGAACAACAGAGACGACAGGGUCCUUGGGAAGGGGGAAGACAGAGGGCUUCCCUCUGGCCAGACCUGGGACGGACGGGCUGAGCAGCACCGUGCCGUAAUGGACGGCCAUCUUUAUUUACGACAUAAAUGAUUCAUGAUGAAGAUAAAUGAUUGAAUACGUGAAUGGGGGGAAAGCUGACUCGUAAAUGUGGAAGGAAUAAUGGGAUCAGAAAACUUCCAUUUGGCAACCGGCAUAUUAAUAAUUGAUUCAGGGAGGAAUCAACAGCGGAUGCUCCGACUGCUGGUGAAAGGUCGGAGGAAACAGGCUAUUUACUUGGCCUCCAAGAGUCUGCUCUCAGAGCACUCACUAAUUAUUACUUAGUAAUUAGUAAGUUCAAAAUACUAAUUAAUGUAACUGCACCGUGGAGGAACCUGGCAGGUGUCACCUUGAGCCAAGUGGCAAAAGCAUUACCAACCGGGCUUGCUGGGCGCUGCUGACCUCAGUUUCCCCAUCUGCUCAACAGGCUUCCUCCUGAAUUCCAAACCACUGACCCCAACUGUCGAAUCAGUGUGGGACAAAGUCACAAACGAAGAUGUGACUUCUAGGUCAUAGGACGGGAGAGAAGCAUGGAAACAGACGAACACCACAGGAGAACUCGGGUCUGUGGCGCAGGGUGGUGUCCUACAACAGCAAGGCCUGACUCUGAUGGUCCUGCUGCCGAGUCUGGGGGAUCUGGUCCGUGCUGUAGGAGACCCACCGUCUCGGGGCACAAUGGGCGUCUUGUCAGCAGCGUGCUCUUAAGUGGGUCAGAAAACAGGGUGAUAAGGUGCGCUGCGGCGUGGCACGUGGGGUGCAGAGGCUCCUUUCACCGCUGCAGCAAACUUUCCAUACAAAAGCUAAAAACAAAACCUGCAUCGGAACAUGAAAAGGUGAGCCACAGACCAGGAGAAGGUACCCGGAAACCACACUCCAGACCAGGGGAAACUCUUAAAGCUCCAGGACAGGCUGGGCCGUGGCUCAGCGGUGGAGUGCUUGCCUAACACGUGUGAAGCCCUGGGUUCCAUCCUCAGCACCACAGAAAGAUAAAUGAAUAAAAUACAGGUAUUGUGUCCAUCUACGACUACCAAAAAAAAAACCCUCCAUGGUAAAAAAGCAAGCAACUCGGUUAGAAAAUGAGCAAAGACACGAGCAAACAUUUCAUUAGAGAGGUGAUACAGAUGGCAAAUAAGCACUUGAAAGGAUGUUCAGCAUCAUCAGUUGUCAGAAAAGUGGAAAUGGGAACCACAGCACCAUGUCAGCACACACCCAUCAGAACGGCUAAAAUAAAAAUGGUCUCAAAACCCAUUGCUUUGGAGGAUGUGGAGAAACGGAACCAUUCAUGCACUUCUGGUAGGUAGGUAACCUGAUCCCAUCUCUCCAGAAAAGGGUUUAGCAGCUUCCUAAAAAAAAUCAGCACAACCACCAAACAACCUCACAAUCACAUUCUUGGGAAUUUAUCCCAGAGAAGUGAAGUUCACACAAAAUCCCAAACAAGAAUGUCCAUGGUGGCUUCACAACAGCUGGACCUGGGGAACAACCCAGACGGCUUUCUGUGGGUGGACGGUGGAGGAACCUCCCCAGCUCAAGGCUGCUCAGCCAGGGGAAGGAGCCAGUGUGGCCCAGGGGAAGGAAGCUGGGUGUGGUGGCACAGGCCUGUCAUCCCAGCAACUCGGGAGGCUGAGGCAGGAGGAUCACAAGUUAGAGGCCAGCCUCGGCCACUAGGCGAGGGCCUCAGCAACUUAGAGAGAUCUUGUCUCAAUAGAAGUAAAUAAAUAAAAAUGACUGGGGAUGUAACAAUGAAGCAAUAAAGCACCCCUGGGAUCCCUGGGAUCAAUCUUUAGUUAAAAAAAAGGAAGGGGAAACUGACAGAAUCUAGAUGAAUCUCAAGACACCAAGACGAAAAGCCAGACCCCAAAGGUCACAUACUGUACGAGGUCGUUUGUAUAACAUCCUUGAAAUGACAGUCAUAGAUACGGAGAAAAGAGUAAGGGUCACCGGGGGCUGGGGAGGGGUGGGGGAGUGAACGUGACAAUAGAGGGGGAACAGAGGGGUCCUUGUGGUGGCGGGGACCUCCUGUCCCAGCUGUGCCCACAUCGGCGACUGCUGGGAUGAUGACCUUGAGAGAUUUCAGGAUUGCCUUUGGGGGAAGCCGGGUGAAGGGGAUGUGGAGUCUCCACCUCACUUCUGACGACUGCAUGUGAAUGUAUGAUCAUUUCAAAAUAAAAAGCUUAACAGAGCCCGGUGCGGUGGUGCACACCUGUGAUCCCAGUGGCUAGGGAGGCUGAGACAGGAGGAUCCUGAGUUCAAAGUCAGCCUCAGCAAUGGCAAAGCACUAAGCAACUCAGUGAGAUCCUGUCUCUAAAAAAAAUAAUAAUAAUAAUACAAAAUAGGGCUGGGGAAUGUGGCUCAGUGGUUGAGUGUCCCUGAGUUCAAUCUCUGGUACCAAAAUAAUAAUAAUACUUAAUUAAAAUAAAAAAGCUGAACAGAAAAGGAAUCAUGGCAAGCUUUUACCCAUAUACACCGUGUGUGUGAUUCUAUGUGAUUGCUAAAUCACAUUGUCUUUAUGGCAUGCAUCGGCCCACACUUUAAAAUUAUAAGUGAAUGUAAAAGGAUAAGAGUCUCUAAAUUGGAAAGUCCAGGGCCAGGACUGCGUUCAGCAAAUCCCCAGGUCGGUGGGCAGAUGGAGGCCCAGGAGAACUGCAGGCCUCUCCUCCAGCCCUGGCCUCUGCUGGGCACUGCCUCUGUGCCGUUUCUCCCUGGUCCCGGGGAAUGACCCUGACCCUGCACCCUGCCAUGGGGGAAUCUAGAAGCCAAAGCUGGGCAUGGCUCUUGUGCUGCCACAGGCCAGCAGGGGACUAGAUGAAGCUCAUGGGUCCAGGAAGCGGGGCCAGGGCCCCAGGCUCAGGGGAUGAGGACCCAUGGCCACCCUCCUCAUCUCCCUCAGACCCCAGGGCUGUCUUUCCUCCAGUGGGAGCCCUGUGCCCCACCCAGCCAGCCCAGGGUCCACCCGGCCCGGGAUGAGGCUCUGUGUAUUCGAAACAAAGCGGGUGAGCAGAGGCCCACAGCCACCUCACCCCAGGGCCCUCUAAGGGGUGGGAAAAAGGAAGGUUCGACUGAUGUUGCUCAAAGUCAGUCCCCCAGGAACCCCAUGUGACUCACUCAAGGAAAUACCCUCUGAGCCUCCUGGGCCCCCAGUGAAGUGGCCACUUGCCUGGCCAGGAAUCAGAGUUUAAAACGGGUUUUCCUGGAGGUAAUCCUGCACAGGGACAGAAAUCCCUCGCCCCUGGGAUUCUGGCCAAGGGAAAGGAAUUUGGAAAACAUUUCCCUCUAGCAGCAGUUUGAAAAUAAAACGUGUUCACAGAUUCUUUGGCCCUCUUCCCACGGGGUGGGUCUGUGUCCCCUCCCCUCGCAUCGGGGCUGGCUUUGGUGGCUGGGGUCCCAGCUAAAAGCUGAUAACAAGGGUCAGACACAUGGGUGGAGGAGCUUCCAGAGGACGCCAGCCCCAGGCCACGCGAGUCCUUGCCAGUGGCCGAGGCUUCCUGCAGAUGGGGCGAAGACAAGCCGUCCCUGCUGGGCCGGGUCCAGGCUCCUGACCACAGAACGUGUAAGCACAAUAAAGUGACGGCUGAGCCACCAGCUUGGUUACUCAGCACUAGUGGUGGGGCAAGGACUGCCUCCCAUGGUGCCACCUGCAGACACCCGAUCCCAGGAGUGACCCUGCUUCCUUCCUGCUGGACCCUCCCCCAAACCAACCCGGAUGCUUCCAUGCUAACUCCAGGAGUCCUGGCAGUCCCGUCGACCACUACAUGUCCAAGUGGGGGUGACCAAAGGACCAGGAAGGGGCCAACGGGGCUGUGUCUGCGAGUUCUCAGCCCAGUGAUAUGGCUGACCCCACGGCAGUCACCCAGAGAGACACGUGGAGAGGGCAGGGGGUGCAGGGCCUGUGGAGGCCCCUGGGAGGGACCCACUACCAAGAUCAAAGAGAGAGGGAGGGGGGCCUGCACGUGUCCCUGAAGGUGCAUGUGCUGGGACCUGGUCCCCAGCCGUGGAGGUGGGCCUCCAGGAAGCCACUCCAGAGGGAGGUCAGGCCAGGCCUCAGUGGCUCCACGAGAAGUCACCCCACAGGCAGCCUCCGACCGGCCAGGAAGCCCUCCAGAGGCCGUGUGGCUGUGCUUCUCCCCGUGAUCCUUACACCCAGGAUUUUUUUUUAAAUAUUUUUGCAGUUGUUGAUAGACCUUUAUUUUUCAAAUUUAUUCACAGGCGGUGCUGAGACUCGACCCAGCGCCUCACACAUGCCAGGCAAGUGCGCUACCGCUGAGCCCCAGCCCCAGCCCGUGCACCCAGUUUUUUGAAUCCAAAAUUUGGUUUAAAAUCUCUCCUCACAUCAUCCUCCAGGGGCAGCGUUGGUCCUCAGGCCCGGAAAGGCAAAGAGGCCGCGGGGCCUGCCAGGGACUCCUGCAGGCGCCUGAGCCCAGCCGCCAGCCUGCAAGUCCCAGGGCUGCGGGGCUGCUCAGAGGCCCAGGUGCCCUUGGGCACACCUCAGCAGGGCGCUGAGGUCCUCGCCUCAGAUGAGGAAACCAAACAGCCGGGCAGUCUUUGGCUGCAGCCCACGGCGGAGGAUUAGCAUUUGAAAAUCUGUGCUUUGUAACGCAGCCGUAGUAAAUUUUGUCAAGCGUGGUAUUUUGACUAUAUGCACAAUCGACAGCAACCAGUGUGUUCACCUUAUUGUUUUUCAGACUGGAAAAAUGUUUGCUGAACUGUCACAAAGAAAUGAUGUGCGUGGCUUUGGACUAUUUGAUCUUGACAUAGAUAGAUCUAUGAGUAUCCCCGGCAUCCUAAUCUUGGACCACAGACAGUUUAGUAAUAAAUAACUACUAGCGCAGUUAAGCAAAACAAACAAAAAGCUUCACAUAAGGUCCACACCCCACUUCUUUGCAAAAAUAUUUGACAUAAAAUCUGUGAUGAAUAUGUGGUAAAAUACGGCCUGCUCUUGAACUUCUCAGCCUCCAGAACUUCGAGCAAAAUAAACCAUUUUCUUUAUAAAUUACUCAGCCUUGGGUAUUUUAUUAUAGCAACAGAAGAGGGACUAAGGUAGGGGAACAGGAGAGAGCCAAGUCAGUGAAGAAAAGAAGCAGUUGGGUGCACUGGCGCACACCUGUCAUCCCAGCGGCUC